UGCUGCACACACAUACAAACCGCGUGUGUGCACACUCGGAGCUCCCGGGCGGUCCGUCGCCCCCCCGGCGCAGCUUCUCCGUCACCCACCCCUCUCCCCCCUUUUGUCCUUCUUCCUCCCAUCCAGGCUGUUCCCAGAACCUCUCGGCCCCCGGAACCAGGGGGAGCCCACCCUAACCGCGUUCCUGCAGCACAACAACGAGAACAGCUUCUUCCAAAUGGGGAGGAUCAAGGGUAGGGGGAUGGGAAGAGGGUGCGCGGUUCCCUUCUUGCCACUUCCUUGUAUGGACAGUGGGGGACUCCAAAGCCCGGCUCGGGAGAGGCCCGAAGCCCGGUACCCGGACGUGCUGGGGGAAGCACAAAGGGGCCAACAAGAAGGGGGUGGGGAGGCCCGCCGGUGCAACGAGAUGGAGUGGGCUGGCGCCUCGGGAAAGCGAAUCGAGGGCGGCGGGUAGGUGAAACUGCUGCAAACGUCCUCGGAGACCGAGAUCAACCCCCCAAAUUGCAAAGAGAGGAGGGAGAAGCUGGGGCCCAGCUGUCCUGCUGUGUCAGCCUGAAGGUAUUAUGGAGCAGAAAAGUAAGCCAUUGGCAUCCAUCCACUGAACAAGGCUUUGCUUUGAUCGACACCAUCAGUUGCAGCUGAUAAUAGGAACUAUGGGCUAAUGAGAGAAAUAAGACUUGGCUCUGUUGACAGGUGCCAGGGAAACUUCACACACCUUCCUCUUGGAACUUGGAGGAUGAAGUUAGGCCAGUGGGGUCCAGCAAUGUGCCACCUUGGAGAGCUCCCGCCCUGACAGUUGAGGGGGAUUGAAGAGAGAGCAGGUGGGAUACAGACAUCUUUGGAAGUGACCUCUUGUGGCUAAUCUAGGCACUGCACUCUGCAUGGACGAGCUUCAUCAUCCUUCAAGGUGGCUGGUACUAGAGCCAAGAGUAGGUAGCGUGAGUGGUCAAGAUGUCCCUGUUGGAAGACUGGAGAUUCCGAGUUCUUCUAAUUUCCUGUUGCCGCCCUCUUGCUCUUACUCUUGGAAAGCAGCCAUGCAGGGCACCCCUCUCAGUAUAGAAUGUGCAUACUGGGGGCCAAUGCGGGGCAUUUCCAUCUUGGUUGGUCUGGGUCUCAUAGGGAAGGGGCAAACUUAAGCAGAUCCUCCCAGCCACCUUUUUCCAGAGCUCAUGGUUAGGGCCUUUGCCUAACUUAGGAGCCAAGUCCCUAAGCUGCAUUACCACUGCUUCUGACAAUCUAAGUGUUCUGUGAGGCCAAGCCAGAUUAGGGCUUCAUGUUCAGGGGAUCAGUCUCUGUUUCCUAUUCCAAUUUCCAAAGCCUUGCUUGCUUGGGAAUAAGGGGAAGGAGAGAUGCAUCAGGCUUCCUGAGCCUAGUUAGCAUUGAGAAGGGCAUCAGUGGCAUUGAGAAGGGCUUUGAGAGUGUGCCAGCCUGUGGUUCUGGGCCUGGCAAAGAGGAGGAAAUAAGGCAUUGGGUGGAUAUGCAUAGGGGUUCCUGGGCUCCCACAUCCCUGUGGCACCAACCAUUGGGGCCUCUGAUUUCUCCUGCCAUCUGUUGCACUGUCCCUUUUGGGACAGGGGACCCUGUCCAACUGCAUGUAACUAUUUCUUUUUAAAUAAAAUCUGAGCAUUUUGGGUG
Sapajus apella (tufted capuchin) is the source of this 1635-nucleotide long non-coding RNA. RefSeq lists it as uncharacterized. Lineage: Eukaryota; Metazoa; Chordata; Mammalia; Primates; Cebidae. The record is from RefSeq and is a predicted model, not a curated record. The transcript has 2 exons.